GUGACUGCAGUAUAUUAAGUACGUUGGCCUUUCACGUCAAAAGAGCACUGCAGUGCCUUUCAU
RNAcentral lists this transfer RNA (63 nucleotides) under Panthalis oerstedi. RNAcentral describes it as "tRNA-Glu". Lineage: Eukaryota; Metazoa; Annelida; Polychaeta; Phyllodocida; Acoetidae. The record is from RNAcentral.